RNAcentral lists this ribosomal RNA (497 nucleotides) under uncultured bacterium. RNAcentral describes it as "partial 16S ribosomal RNA". It matches the Rfam family "Bacterial small subunit ribosomal RNA", at positions 28 to 507 of the family's 1533-position model. The record is from RNAcentral.
GACGAACGCUGGCGGCGUGCCUAAUACAUGCAAGUUGGGCGCUGAAGGUUGGUACUUGUACCAACUGGAUGAGCAGCGAACGGGUGAGUAACGCGUGGGGAAUCUGCCUUUGAGCGGGGGACAACAUUUGGAAACGAAUGCUAAUACCGCAUAAAAACUUUAAACACAAGUUUUAAGUUUGAAAGAUGCAAUUGCAUCACUCAAAGAUGAUCCCGCGUUGUAUUAGCUAGUUGGUGAGGUAAAGGCUCACCAAGGCGAUGAUACAUAGCCGACCUGAGAGGGUGAUCGGCCACAUUGGGACUGAGACACGGCCCAAACUCCUACGGGAGGCAGCAGUAGGGAAUCUUCGGCAAUGGACGAAAGUCUGACCGAGCAACGCCGCGUGAGUGAAGAAGGUUGUCGGGUCGUAAAACUCUGUUGGUAGAGAAGAACGUUGGUGAGAGUGGAAAGCUCAUCAAGUGACGGUAACUACCCAGAAAGGGACGGCUAACUACGUG